Molecule: non-coding RNA, 35 nt
Filed under: Paenibacillus pinihumi DSM 23905 = JCM 16419
Lineage: Bacteria; Bacillati; Bacillota; Bacilli; Caryophanales; Paenibacillaceae
Source: RNAcentral
CUCUGGGUCCAUCAGUCGGCUCAGGGCAGAAAGAG